CCCAAAAUGCUAAAAUUCUCCUCUUCUUCAGCCUGAUUUUCAUCUUUCUCAACUAGGUUCUCUUCCCUCUGAUCAAGUAGUUGCAACGGAAUCGGAUUGGAAGAUGAGUGCGAGAGAAACCCAAGCGAUAGACCCGAUUGAGCUUGCGAUAAAUCCAUUUCAAAACUUCAAAGAACAAAAGAUUAAAAAAAAGGGAAUUUCAAACUCAAGGAUAUGCGUAGAAACAACAGAAACAGCGACAACAACGCCUAAAGGAACUACAGCUGAAAUAACGAAUCCUUGGCCUGUUACUGUUAGACUUUGAAGACGCAGAAGCUGAAGCUUCCAUGAAAUUUCAAGCCAAACUCG
Molecule: unclassified non-coding RNA, 348 nt
Filed under: Hevea brasiliensis (rubber tree)
Lineage: Eukaryota; Viridiplantae; Streptophyta; Magnoliopsida; Malpighiales; Euphorbiaceae
Source: RNAcentral